UACAGAGGUCUCAAGCGUUGUUCGGAUUCAUCGGGCGUAAAGGGCGCGUAGGCGGCCAUCUAAGUCGGACGUGAAAGCCCCAGGCUUAACCUGGGAACGGCGUCCGAUACUGGGCGGCUUGGAUUCGGGAGAGGGAUGUGGAAUUCCAGGUGUAGCGGUGAAAUGCGUAGAUAUCUGGAGGAACACCGGUGGCGAAGGCGGCAUCCUGGACCGAGAUCGACGCUGAGGCGCGAAAGCUAGGGGAGCAAACGGG
RNAcentral lists this ribosomal RNA (253 nucleotides) under uncultured bacterium. Its description in RNAcentral is "partial 16S ribosomal RNA". It matches the Rfam family "Bacterial small subunit ribosomal RNA", at positions 524 to 776 of the family's 1533-position model. The record is from RNAcentral.